CAGAAGCAGCAGCGCGCAAAUUACCCACUCCCGGCACGGGGAGGUAGUGACGAAAAAUAACGAUACGGGACUCAUCCGAGGCCCCGUAAUCGGAAUGGGAACACUUUAAACCCUUUAACGAGUAUCCAUUGGAGGGCAAGUCUGGUGCCAGCAGCCGCGGUAAUUCCAGCUCCAAUAGCGUAUAUUAAAGUUGUUGCGGUUAAAAAGCUCGUAGUUGGAUGUGUGUCCCACGCUGUCGGUUCACCGUUCGUCGGUGUUUAACUGGCAUGUAUGUGUGGACGUCCUGCCGGUGGAUGCGGUCGGCCGUGGGCUUCGGUCUGCGCGUCGGCGGUCCGAUGCAAUCCUGCCGCGGUGCUCUUCACCGAGUGUCGAGGUGGGCCGGCACGUUUACUUUGAACAAAUUAGAGUGCUUAAAGCAGGCAGUGGUUCGCCUGAAUAUUGUGUGCAUGGAAUAAUGGAAUAGGACCUCGGUUCUAUUUUGUUGGUUUCCGGAACUUGAGGUAAUGAUUAAUAGGGACAAAUGGGGGCAUUCGUAUUGCGACGUUAGAGGUGAAAUUCUUGGAUCGUCGCAAGACGAACCUAAGCGAAAGCAUUUGCCAUAAGUGUUUUCAUUAAUCAAGAACGAAAGUUAGAGGUUCGAAGGCGAUCAGAUACCGCCCUAGUUCUAACCAUAAACGAUGCCAGCCAGCGAUCCGCCGAAGUUCCUCCGAUGACUCGGCGGGCAGCUUCCGGGAAACCAAAGCUUUUGGGUUCCGGGGGAAGUAUGGUUGCAAAGCUGAAACUUAAAGGAAUUGACGGAAGGGCACCACCAGGAGUGGAGCCUGCGGCUUAAUUUGACUCAACACGGGAAACCUCACCAGGCCCGGACACCGGAAGGAUUGACAGAUUGAGAGCUCUUUCUUGAUUCGGUGGAUGGUGGUGCAUGGCCGUUCUUAGUUGGUGGAGCGAUUGUCGUAUCA
RNAcentral lists this ribosomal RNA (959 nucleotides) under Mnesilochus portentosus. RNAcentral describes it as "SSU rRNA". It matches the Rfam family "Eukaryotic small subunit ribosomal RNA", at positions 420 to 1321 of the family's 1831-position model. Lineage: Eukaryota; Metazoa; Arthropoda; Insecta; Phasmatodea; Lonchodidae. The record is from RNAcentral.